RNAcentral lists this ribosomal RNA (167 nucleotides) under uncultured bacterium. RNAcentral describes it as "partial 16S ribosomal RNA". It matches the Rfam family "Bacterial small subunit ribosomal RNA", at positions 346 to 509 of the family's 1533-position model. The record is from RNAcentral.
AGGCAGCAGUGAGGAAUAUUGGUCAAUGGGCGGGAGCCUGAACCAGCCAAGUCGCGUGAGGGAAGACGGUCCUAUGGAUUGUAAACCUCUUUAGGCGGGGAGCAAUGCCGGGCACGCGUGCCCGGAGGGAGAGUACCCGCAGAAUAAGCAUCGGCUAACUCCGUGCC